This 467-nucleotide ribosomal RNA is filed under the name uncultured bacterium. RNAcentral describes it as "partial 16S ribosomal RNA". It matches the Rfam family "Bacterial small subunit ribosomal RNA", at positions 29 to 507 of the family's 1533-position model. The record is from RNAcentral.
ACGAACGCUGGCGGCGUGCUUCACACAUGCAAGUCGAACGGAAAGGCCCUGCUUUUGUGGGGUGCUCGAGUGGCGAACGGGUGAGUAACACGUGAGUAACCUGCCCUUGACUUUGGGAUAACUUCAGGAAACUGGGGCUAAUACCGGAUAGGAGCUCCUGCUGCAUGGUGGGGGUUGGAAAGUUUCGGCGGUUGGGGAUGGACUCGCGGCUUAUCAGCUUGUUGGUGGGGUAGUGGCUUACCAAGGCUUUGACGGGUAGCCGGCCUGAGAGGGUGACCGGCCACAUUGGGACUGAGAUACGGCCCAGACUCCUACGGGAGGCAGCAGUGGGGAAUAUUGCACAAUGGGCGGAAGCCUGAUGCAGCAACGCCGCGUGCGGGAUGACGGCCUUCGGGUUGUAAACCGCUUUCGCCGGUGACGAAGCGUGAGUGACGGUAAUGGGUAAAGAAGCACCGGCUAACUACGUG